UCCGACGGGGGCUAGCGUUGCUCGGAAUCACUGGGCGUAAAGGGUGCGUAGGCGGGUCUUUAAGUCAGGGGGGAAAUCCUGGAGCUCAACUCCAGAACUGCCUUUGAUACUGAGGAUCUUGAGUUCGGGAGAGGUGAGUGGAACUGCGAGUGUAGAGGUGAAAUUCGUAGAUAUUCGCAAGAACACCAGUGGCGAAGGCGGCUCACUGGCCCGAUACUGACGCUGAGGCACGAAAGCGUGGGGAGCAAACAGG
RNAcentral lists this ribosomal RNA (253 nucleotides) under uncultured bacterium. RNAcentral's name for it is "partial 16S ribosomal RNA". It matches the Rfam family "Bacterial small subunit ribosomal RNA", at positions 524 to 776 of the family's 1533-position model. The record is from RNAcentral.